RNAcentral lists this unclassified non-coding RNA (334 nucleotides) under Hevea brasiliensis (rubber tree). Lineage: Eukaryota; Viridiplantae; Streptophyta; Magnoliopsida; Malpighiales; Euphorbiaceae. The record is from RNAcentral.
CCCACAAUUGCCAGGUUACUCUCCUGGGUUUGCAGCAAUAGCUUAGCCCUUUCGAUUGGGGCGACGAUCGUGUGCACACCUCCACCCAUGACCGCACCCGCCAUCAGAUCUCUUUGGAAGUGGGUCAGCCAUAUGUAAGGUCGUGAUGUUGUUGUCGCUGUGGGUGGUUUUGACUGGCUCUGUUCUCCUGGGUCAUCAUCAUCUCUGCUCAUUUCUAGACCCCUCCAAAAAAAACCCACAAAGAGAAAUCUCUUAUAUUCCUAUAUGAAGCGUGAUUGCUGCCAUCAAGAAAAACCCAUUAAUAUUUGGAAGCAACAUUACAGUUCUAUGAGGU